RNAcentral lists this ribosomal RNA (351 nucleotides) under Triticum aestivum (bread wheat). RNAcentral's name for it is "partial small subunit ribosomal RNA". The record is from RNAcentral. Lineage: Eukaryota; Viridiplantae; Streptophyta; Magnoliopsida; Poales; Poaceae.
AUGGAAGUUUUACGGUGUGGUUUGCAUAUAGAAUGUUUGUUGACACGAAGAAACGGUGAGAAGAUUGGCUUGAGGGAAACACUGGCGGAUCUAACCACGAAGCUGAAGCAAAAGCCGGGACAUCGCCAUGGUCUGUUCAAAGUACCAGGGAAUGUUAAGACCUUUUUGUGGAGAUUGGCCAAAUGCUCGAUCCCAACAGAAGAUGUGCGCCACAUGAGACAUAUGUCUGAUGAUGAUAGUUGCCAGUUAUGCAGUGCCCCGGACUCAUGGUGUCAUUCACUCCUAGAAUGCACAGCGGCUCGGUGUGUAUGGGCUCUGGGGAUGCAGAAAUUUUGCACCAUCUUCAGGUAA